AGACUCUCCACAGAAGUCUCUGUGGAUACCGGCAGGUGGAAGAAAAUCAAGGCAGCAGAAAGGAUCUGAGUCCUCUCCAGAACACCCACUUUCCUUACAUCUAAGAGGAUUUGUGAUCUGCUUGCAACUAAAAAAAAUAAAUAAAAAAAGAGCAUUUUAAGGGAAAAAUGAUACAUGUUCCUCAAAUUUAGUGAGUAAAUCAGAAGAAAACAGGAUAAUUAUCAAAACAACAAAGGAGAGGCUAUCACUUACUGGACAAAAUGUAGAACUCUGCUCCUCCUCCACCAUGCCUGCCUGGAUGCUGCCAUGCUCCUGCCUUGACGAUAAUGGACUGAACCUUAGCCGCACAGUGGAAUAUGACAUUUGUAGAAUCUAUAAUGAUCUCCUUAUCUUCUUCACUGAGAGCCAGUUUAGGUUGGAGUCUUCUAACUUACAUGUGUUCUGAAGGUGUGGCCCAUCUUCCCUAGACAAACGUGGCAACCACUCCUCAAAAAGGCUUCUCUUUACAGCAAAUGGAGAGCAUCACAGAAAACAACUGUACAUAAGACAGAAAUCAAUCGUGCGGAGCCCAGCCCCAACAUAUAUAUCUACAUCUUUAUCACAGCUCCUCCAUCAGGGAAUAUCACUUAAGGGGAAUGGAAAGAUUUAAAAAGCCAGAAGAUCAGGAAGUCAGCCAUAAAACAGUCUCUCCUGGAAAUGGCUACAUAAACAAGAUUGAAACACAAUGGGCAAGUUAACGUGGGACAGGGAAAUCUAGCAACAUCUCACCCCUAGACAAAGAACUACAGGGAACUCCUAAACGCUGGAAGAAGGAGAAUUAUCCUCUCCCUUACUGGUUGUCCAAUGCAGACUGGUCAGCCUUGAAGCCAUAUACAUAAAAGCAGUAAAAGUGG
Mus musculus (house mouse) is the source of this 893-nucleotide long non-coding RNA. RefSeq annotates it as fatty acyl CoA reductase 1, opposite strand. The transcript is spliced from 6 exons. The record is from RefSeq and is marked validated. NCBI's taxonomy places the organism in Eukaryota, Metazoa, Chordata, Mammalia, Rodentia, Muridae.